This 464-nucleotide ribosomal RNA is filed under the name uncultured bacterium. RNAcentral describes it as "bacterial SSU rRNA". It matches the Rfam family "Bacterial small subunit ribosomal RNA", at positions 338 to 795 of the family's 1533-position model. The record is from RNAcentral.
CCUANGGGCGGCAGCAGUCGAGAAUUUUUCACAAUGGGCGAAAGCCUGAUGGAGCGACGCCGCGUGGGGGAUGAAUGGCUUCGGUCCGUAAACCCCUGUCAUUCGGGAACAAUGCCUGCGUAAUAACACUUCGCAGGUUGAUAGUACUGGAAGAGGAAGGGACGGCUAACUCUGUGCCAGCAGCCGCGGUAAUACAGAGGUCCCAAGCGUUGUUCGGAUUCACUGGGCGUAAAGGGUGCGUAGGUGGCUGGGUAAGUCUGAUGUGAAAUCUCGAAGCCUAACUUCGAAACUGCAUCGGAUACUACACAGCUAGAGGUCUGGAGGGGGGACUGGAAUUCUCGGUGUAGCAGUGAAAUGCGUAGAUAUCGAGAGGAACGCCAAUGGCGAAGGCUAGUCCCUGGACAGAUCCUGACACUGAGGCACGAAAGCUAGGGGAGCAAACAGGAUUAGAUACCCCANUANUC